Molecule: long non-coding RNA, 1164 nt
Organism: Neopsephotus bourkii (Bourke's parrot)
Lineage: Eukaryota; Metazoa; Chordata; Aves; Psittaciformes; Psittacidae
Exons: 3
Source: RefSeq, a predicted model, not a curated record
CAAUGCAGCUAGUCGACCACUGGGCUAUAGCAAUGAGCUAGAGAGAAGGCAAAAUCACUCUUGGUGAGUUGUGUCUGGUGAAGACAAGCCUGAACAAGCAACUCCAAAUCCUAACCUGGAUUUCUCCAGAGCCCUUCUGCAGUCACAUCCUACAGGAGAGUGCUGGUUACACUCCCCUCCUUUGGUGGUGUGAAAGUGGUAGAGAUGUCCCGUUCUCUUCAUUCUUGGAAUCCCUGAAGGACAUGGUGCUGGGCAUGGCUGCUCUGGACCGAGCCAGGAGACAAACUGCAGUCUAGCAGCCACGAACCUGCAAGCCCUCCUGGCUGCUCUCCCAGCUGAGAGCAGAAGCCACAAGGCUAACAACAAGACAGUGUGAAAAGAUGCUGAACCCAGACAGAUAUAUAGCAGACUACAAAUUUCAGAAGAUUAUGGGGAUUCCACUUUUUAUGUUCACUUACUAGGUUCCACAUUAUUUUGUCCUCUGCAUGGAAAGAAAUACUGAUCAUCCCAUUCAGUAGUCACAUAAAGCUGACUGUACUUUUCUGCUGAAUACUCAAAAAAAUUAUAGGCCCUGAUAUGAGUUUAGCCAAGAAAUGCAUCUGAUCAUGUGCCCAGAUGAAAAAUCAGGCUCCAAAUACCCAUCUGGAUUCAGAAAUGAACUCAGCACCUCAGGCUCAUCCCCAAUGGAAAGAAUGACACACACAAGCGUGACUUCAUGGUCAUAAGGCCUUGAAAAUGUACAUCCAAAUUGUUUGCAACAAUAUACAUUUGAUCAGGUUUUGGAAGCUGUUAAAAAUAAAGAGCCAAAUGAUGAAGCAGUGGAGAGUGUCUGCAGGGAAAAGGUGCUUUGUGCCAGUAAGUUGGGGAUGUUCCCCUUGGCUCACAAGUCUGCAUUGUAUUUUGGCCAUACACUCAGACUUGAAUCAUGCAGAUCCUGCCAAGAUGUCAGAGAAGCAGAAGAUGUCACUUGCUUCCUUAGGCUCAACCCCCCCAUUUUAAAAGCUGUAUUGAAUGUUACACACAGCAUAUGCUUUUCUACCUGUUUUUCUUCCCUUGCAAUUAAUAUAGAAGAGCAGCCCUAGAAUUGGGUGAAUAUUGCAAGAAGUUUUUGCAUAAACAUUUCCUGGUUGGAAUGUUUAAAUGAAGAUGCUCCAGGCAUAGCUG